Molecule: ribosomal RNA, 385 nt
Filed under: uncultured bacterium
Lineage: Bacteria
Description: bacterial SSU rRNA
Rfam family: Bacterial small subunit ribosomal RNA
Source: RNAcentral
GACGAACGCUGGCGGCGUGCCUAACACAUGCAAGUCGAACGGAGUUGCCCUUCGGGACAACUUAGUGGCGAACGGGUGAGUAACGCGUGAGAAACCUGCCUUUCAGUGGGGGACAACAGUUGGAAACGACUGCUAAUACCGCAUAACAUAUUCGGGGGGCAUCCCCUGAAUAUCAAAGCUUAAUGUGCUGAAAGAUGGUCUCGCGUCUGAUUAGCUAGAUGGCGGGGUAACGGCCCACCAUGGCGACGAUCAGUAGCCGGUCUGAGAGGAUGAACGGCCACAUUGGGACUGAGAUACGGCCCAGACUCCUACGGGAGGCAGCAGUGGGGAAUAUUGGGCAAUGGGGGGAAACCCUGACCCAGCAACGCCGCGUGAAGGAAGAAGG